This 968-nucleotide ribosomal RNA is filed under the name Pisorisporium cymbiforme. RNAcentral's name for it is "SSU rRNA". It matches the Rfam family "Eukaryotic small subunit ribosomal RNA", at positions 405 to 1378 of the family's 1831-position model. The record is from RNAcentral. Lineage: Eukaryota; Fungi; Ascomycota; Sordariomycetes; Pisorisporiales; Pisorisporiaceae.
GGCUACUACAUCCAAGGAAGGCAGCAGGCGCGCAAAUUACCCAAUGCUAACUCAGCGAGGUAGUGACGAUAAAUACUGAUACAGGGCUCUUUUGGGUCUUGUAAUUGGAAUGAGUACAAUUUAAAUCCCUUAACGAGGAACAAUUGGAGGGCAAGUCUGGUGCCAGCAGCCGCGGUAAUUCCAGCUCCAAUAGCGUAUAUUAAAGUUGUUGUGGUUAAAAAGCUCGUAGUUGAACCUUGGGCCUGGCUGGCCGGUCCGCCUCACCGCGUGCACUGGUCCGGCCGGGCCUUUCCCUCUGUGGAACCCCAUGUCCUUCACUGGUCGUGGCGGGGAAACAGGACUUUUACUUUGAAAAAAUUAGAGUGUUCAAAGCAGGCCUAUGCUCGGAUACAUUAGCAUGGAAUAAUAGAAUAGGACGUGUGGUUCUAUUUUGUUGGUUUCUAGGACCGCCGUAAUGAUUAAUAGGGACAGUCGGGGGCAUCAGUAUUCAAUUGUCAGAGGUGAAAUUCUUGGAUUUAUUGAAGACUAACUACUGCGAAAGCAUUUGCCAAGGAUGUUUUCAUUAAUCAGGAACGAAAGUUAGGGGAUCGAAGACGAUCAGAUACCGUCGUAGUCUUAACCAUAAACGAUGCCGACUAGGGAUCGGACGAUGUUAUUUUUUGACUCGUUCGGCACCUUACGAGAAAUUAAGAGUGUUUGGGUUCCAGGGGGAGUAUGGUCGCAAGGCUGAAACUUAAAGAAAUUGACGGAAGGGCACCACCAGGAGUGGAGCCUGCGGCUUAAUUUGACUCAACACGGGGAAACUCACCAGGUCCAGACAAUAUGAGGAUUGACAGAUUGAGAGCUCUUUCUUGAUUUAUUGGUUGGUGGUGCAUGGCCGUUCUUAGUUGGUGGGAUGACUUGUCUGCCUAAUCGCGAUAACGAACGAGACCUUAACCUGCUAAAUAGCCCACAUUGCUUUGGCAGUA